CAGGGAAAAUUCCAUGUUCUUUGUUCUCUACCUUGGGUGUGUAGCCCAUCACGAGAGUGUUAGACAGUGACGAUACCACCCCAAAGAAAUGUAGGCAAGUCCUUCGCUUAUGCUAACUGGGGAAGCCUCUGCCCGAUCUGUGUAUCGGACGUGCUUCCCCUGCAGCUGCCGCCAUGUGUGAGAGUAAAGGCUCUCUAUAAACUAAAUUAGGACAAGUAGAGUUUUUCUACAACAAAGGGCGAAGCUCAUCUUCAGUGAAUAACACAGCAGUGAUCACUCAGCAGGGUGGAGUGUGCUUUUCUCAAUUUUGGAUGGCAAUGCUCUUUGGUUAAUUGCAUGCUGAGUAUUUCUUGAUAUUCUGCGAUCAGAAAUAUUAAUGCCUUGUAGCUCACCAGUAACACAAGACAGUUUUGUUUGUUUUGUUGUUGUCCAUUUCCCCCACCCCACCAAAUAAUACUGUAAUGGACUAAUGCAUUAGUAAUGUGAUCAAGCUUUCUUUCUUUCUUUUUUUUUUUUUUAAUCUUACUUAACAGUGACAUUAACAGUAUAGCACAUGCUUUUUUAAUGGGAUCGCUCGGUUGACCAAUUUGAAUUUUUCUUAUUAAUGUGAUGUGUAAUGACUUUUGAAUGUCUGAUUUAACAAGAAAUAGGUAUUUCAAAUGCCAGUGAACUUUCUGCAAGUUUUUGGCAGCUCAUUAGAAGGUGUGGCAGUUCAUUUUCGGUUGUAACAGUUUAGUUAUGAUGACAUUUGUCUAAGAGUGAUAAAUUUAAUUGCAUCUUAAUCUGACCUCUAUUCAUGUGGUUUGCUGUUUAGCUCUUUUAUCUUCUCAAGGUCCAGCAGGUGGUACUAUUGACACAAGAAUUUCCUCUGUUUCCCACUCCGUAACCACAUUGUCAAUCUACUAUUUUGUUUUGCUGUUAUGGGCAGCGUGGCUCUGAAUAGGAAUGAAGAUGCUACUAUCUGUUAAAUUUCUAGAAGUGGUAGAAAGCUUUUCCUCAGCAGCUGUGACAAGGGCUGCAAAGAAAGAUCCGAGGCGGUUUUGCCCUGCACUGUUGUGGACGCAGUAGAAUGCAGGUACAAGGGAAGUUGUUUUAAGAACCUGGGCUGGGUGACUCCAAGGCCGAAAACUUUCAAGAUGAAAAUCAACCUGUGCAUUUAGUCAAACUAUGACUAUGACCAUGAGUGCCUCCCUCUUCUGAAAUACUGCAUCUCACUACACCACUGCAAAAGAGAAUCUUUUCACCAAAAGGUGCAAGCUGGCACAGCAGUUUCAGUGUUGAUCUUUGAAUGCAGGAAUUUACGGUUAAUGGAGAAAUAAUUCUGUUGCUAUUAGACAUAAACCUAGAGGGAAAACUCAUUUUUGACCGAUAGUUUAAUAAGUGAUCAUGAUCAUGUAAUUAAAUACUAUUUAAAAAAAAAAGCUUGUAAAGCUCUUACUACUGCUGUUUAGAUCAAAUCAUAGUUGUGGGAAAUAACUCAGAACUGCUUAGUUACUUAUCUUUAUUAGCUGGAAGGGAGGUACGAUAUUUAUUUGACCUUUAAACUUCAUGAAUCUUUCUUCAAGAAAGAGUCAAAUGACUGUAAAAGUAGUUGCAGCAUGGUCUUAAUUGUGAUUCGUGAAUCAGUAGUGGUUGCUAUCGCCAUACGUGUUAAAAUAAUUCUUAAAACAACAAAGAAAUGUAGCCUUCCACAGGAAAGGCUUAGUUCUGGAAAAGUAAUUGCAGCCUCUGUGGACAUGUGUGUAAGGCUUUGUGACCCUGCUAUGUUACUCUGUAGUAAUUAGCCAUCAGUUGAGAUACCAAUAGGAAAGGAUCGGAGCUAAUCAAUACAGACUCUCAUUGAUUUUUGUGAGCGCAGGUACACUCCUGACAGGACACUGAUGGAAGCAUCUGUCGGUUGGGUUUGCUUGGCACGUCUCCAGGUCUGACAGUCUCCAUGUUAGUUCCGCUGAGUCAGUCUUACUUUUUUUCUUCUCUAGCUGUAUUGUCACAUAUUGCCAUGCUCUCUGAGUGGUAAAUUAAAGGUGAAAAUCAAUUUCUGGUUGUAGAAUAGUUCUUCUGUCUGUGUAAAUGCCACCUGCAAUAGAGGGGAACAAGCUUUUGUAGCCCUGUUAGCAAGCUGGCCUGAAAUAGACUGUUCCUACAGUUGCCCUUUCCUGUUCAGGUCCAUUCCCGUGCCCUAUAAAAUAUGCAUCAUUCAGCCAAGAAGUAGACUGGCAGCAAGAAACAGGCAGGCUCUGCUAUACUUCUGUCACACUGGAUGUAUUGCAGCUGGCAAUGGUGCUGGUUUUAGAUCCUCAGCCUUUUUGUUCUAGCUUUUUCAUUCUCAGGUCGUUCAGAAACAGUCAUGUGUGUGUAAAGUCUUUGGUCCAAAGGGCAGUUUCUAGAGAUGCAUUGUUUAUUUUUCUAUUACAUCACUACUCAGAGUCUGAGCUAUGAUUUUUUUUAUUCAUAAUAUCUUAUAUAUGGGAAGAUUGAUUCCUGCAAUAGAGAUCAUACAGUCUUAAAACAUAAGUUGAUUCUUAACUUGGUACCCUGCUAGUAAUUCUAUGAAAGUCCACAGUAAAAAAAGAUAAGCAUCUGUUCUUGCUUUUGCAUGAAAAUUGAUUGUGAGAAAAGAAAAAAGAGCUGCAUGAUAUGAGCAGUUUAGUGAUUUAGUAUUUUAUGUAGUUUUUAAAGGACUGUAUCUCACGAGUUGCUUCUUAAAACAAACUUAAUUUGUACCACUCUGGAAACCUAUGACAUGAAAGCUUCUAGACCAUGUCUUUCUUGGAAAAUUUGGUAAAUUAGCUAAAAUCACAAACUUAACUUUAAACACCAUGUAUUGAGAUGCACACACACACACACACACAUAUAUAUACACACAUGCGCGCGCACACACACACAUCAUGUAUUGAUAUAUAUAUGAGUAUUAGCAAUGAAAUAGUAACUAAUGUUCUUUAAUUAUUCACUGUACUUAGAUGUAUUUAAUUCUGCACAAAACAUGGAAAGAGAAGGGCUCUGUAAAAGCAGUCAGAUUAAAACACGAUUGUACUUGAUUACUUCACAGUAAAUGUACUAGUUAUUUUCAAUAUCAUUGAAAUACUGAUUUUUUUUUUAAGAAUGUGACAAUGCUAAGGUUUUUUAUUCUAACUCACUUAUCAGAGGUGAAUGAGUAUGAUGUAUUGCUUAACUGUAGAAUACAGGCACCAAUAUUUGGUGAUUACGCCAUGACUUUCUACAAAUUUCUUUUUAUAUUUUGCUUUAGGGAUUAUUGUGAAUGUCAGGCUGCAAUCAAAGCUAUAUGUAAUUUGUGUUUUGAGAGUAAUACUUUUGCAGAGGUCCAUGAAAGCUGACCUCUUAAGCUAAGGCUGAACUUACUUCAUAAGCUUUCAGCUAAUGUUGGUAAUGUUUCUUCAUUACUAAUGAAUCCUUUUCCAUUAGUUUCCCAUCUUUCCUAACAGAAUGCCAUGGUCUGCUCUGCAGAAACAAGACUGACUGAUUUAAGGAUGUUGCCAGGUGCUGACUCAAAACUUGAACACUGCAUACAAACCUUCUGUCUAUACUUUCUCCUUCUGUGCAGAAAACUAUACGUGUCAAGCAUUGACAUUACUGGGAAAGCUCACUGUCAAAGUCAGUGGUAUCACAUGCUUGAAUAAAAUCUGGAAAAGCACCUGGAAAUCCUCUUCAAGUGACGUCCAGCAUAUAAUGAUGAACUUUAAAUUCUGUUGGGGCUCCUUCGGAUUUCUUCCCUAGCUAAAGCAGCAAAGAAUGCUGUAAGUUCCCUCUUCAGACUUCAGAAAUUCAUCGGUCCUUGCAGAGUGUUGCAUAUGGCCAACAGAGCUGCGAGAGCGGGGACGUUGUGCAGAGUUCUACAAAGGCUACGUCAGAGUUUUGUAACGCACAGUUUCACUUGUCUUCUGUAUAUUGCGUGUAUAUUUGUGUCCUGUUUUUUUUGUUUAUGUUUUGUUUUGUUUCAUUUUUGCUACCUCUCCCAUCCACUCAAUGGGACAUAUUAGUAUUCACUCGUGAAGUUUGUGUCAGCAUUGCAGGGGAAAAAAAAACAAAGGGGGAAGGACAUAUAUGUGCAUUUCCUUCCCCACCCCCCAAUCCUGGAAAUGUGACUUGAAGAACUGAGCCUUUAUAUUAAGAAAAAAGUAAUAUGCAUUUCCAUGUACCAAAGCAAAGCAUCAGAAUUUGAUACUUACAGUUAGCACAUCCUGGAGUGCACGACAGUGUACUUGGCUGAAAUUAACUUUUUCGGCGGGAGGGUGAGAUUGGUUCUUAACAAUAAAGCUUUUAGUGAUAUGUAAAUUGUUCUGUCACCAAAACUCAGGGGUGCAUGUUCUGGCAUAUAUUUACAAUAUUAAUGUGAAGUCAUCAUGAGGACCAUAUAGCUAGCAUCCCAAUAUCAACAGUGAAAUUUAGGAAACAGUGAAGUCAUGUCAAACUCCUGGACUUUCACCUGUGUAUCAUGUCCCCCCAAAAUCCUGUUGAAGUAAAUAUUAGGUCCAUUUGUUGUCUUUAUAUGCGGGUGUUUACAGAAACGGUUGUCCUAGUUUCCCAUACAUGUCAGUCCUGUGACUAUUCAUAGUUUAAUCCCAUACUAGAAGAGAAUGGCAGUGGAAGGAGGAGUUCUUGUUCCUAGCCCUUUACAGUCUUCUGAUUUGCACUCAUGUUAAUUCAGUCAUGUUCUUACUAUUUAACAUAUAAAGAACAAACAAGCAGGCCACAAGCUUAAACAAGCCUUUGAGGGGAAACAUCUAAACUGUAGCAGAAGCAUGUGUGUG
Molecule: long non-coding RNA, 4769 nt
Organism: Dromaius novaehollandiae (emu)
Lineage: Eukaryota; Metazoa; Chordata; Aves; Casuariiformes; Dromaiidae
Exons: 2
Source: RefSeq, a predicted model, not a curated record